AUCUAACGCCCGACCUGCUCGAGAUGGUAAAACGCGGGAAAGAAAAAAACAUGGAAUUCAAAGAUCGAUGUUAACAUUGUUCUUGUGACAUUCACGGACACGUUUAGAGGGUCCACAUGAUCAUCGUUGUCGAACUGGGUGCCCAUGACCUCCUUCUCUCAUUCUGCAGUGACAUCCUCUUGUAAAGCGACCUGUUCUUCACAAGUUGCUGCCUGGUGAUGCUGCUGCUGAUGAUAACAGCCAAAUGCUGCUGCAGUUUGUGCCUGGUGAUGCUGCUGCUGAUGAUUACAUACACCCUGCUGCUGCAGUUGGUGUCAGGUGGUGAUGCUGCUGAUGAUGACAGUCAAAUGCUGCUGCAGUUGAUGCAUGAUGAUGGUGCUGUAUUAUACAUGUUCAUACCUAGGCAAUUGCAAACUUAAAAUUUGACCAUAAAAUAACUUUAACUGGACUAUCAUUCAAUGUCUGGUAAAUAAUGCAAGAAAGAUUUUUAGACUUUUAAUUUUUGUUUUAGACUUUAAAUCUGUUAUUUAAUAGGAAAUCAUUUAAAUUUGUUCAUGAUACAUGGGUUAUUGCCAUAACAGUUUGAGUGUUGAAAAGAAUUGCAGUAAAAAUAUUGUUGACAUUUGUUAUGUUGAUGAAGAGACUUUAAAUGAUUAGUUUAAACAUAUUUAUUUUAGCUCGAUUGCAUUGAAAGCCUCAGGCUUAUUGAAAGGCUCUAAGAGUUUGUUUCCUGGGCCUAGAACCAGUACUUGGUGUCUUUUGGGGGAGAUUUAAAGAACGCUCCAACAGUGGGGAUUGUACCCAUAAUUCCCGGCCACUAGGCGGACACUAUAUCUAUUACACCACGGCGACUGCCUUAUUUGCUGUUUUAGGGACAUAAUGUAUGACCUAUUAUUUCAGGUGUCUUUCUGUCAUAUCCAUGUUCACAUGUUUAGAUGUUUAAUUCAGAAAUGCAGCUGACAAGUUGAAUUGAUUGAACAUGAUCCUGUCUCACCAAGACCAGUAGCUAUGAGCUGAGCCUGAUCCUGUCUCACUAAGACCAGUAUCUGUGAGCUGAGCCUGAUCCUGUCUCACCAAGACCAGUAGCUGUGAGCUGAGCCUGAUCCUGUCUCACUAAGACCAGAAUCUGUGAGCUGAGCCUGAUCAUCUUGUGCACGUUCUCAUGUAGAAAGAAAGCUACCACGAGAUUGCUGAUUGGGACAUUUUGAGAUAAUUCAUUAGGAUUGAAGCUCUCUUUGAUGUCCAUUAUUUGAAAAAUUAUUAGCUUUAUGGGAAUCAUGUUUGUUUUUACAUACAACUGACUAUUAAAUACAAUAGACUUCUA
Molecule: long non-coding RNA, 1324 nt
Organism: Dreissena polymorpha
Lineage: Eukaryota; Metazoa; Mollusca; Bivalvia; Myida; Dreissenidae
Exons: 3
Source: RefSeq, a predicted model, not a curated record